CCGGUCACGGUGCAGGUGGGCCAGUAGAUAGGUACAGUCCAGAGGGAAGUGUCUCUAGUUACGGCUCUAGCUCCCUGAACAUCCGGAGACCCACUCAGAACUCCCAGCAGCCUCGUCAACCCAACCCCAAUGCAAAAGAUUCCUUCCAGACCAAAACUGGCAUGUGGGAUUUUGUUUCACCCGAGAAUGGAAAAAGAUUUGAGUCUGGUAUUGCUUCAAGUCGAGGAAUUGUUAUGCAAGCUGGUCCUCAGCCCCCUGCAGAGCCCCAGCCUUCAGUCUACCAGCCCCAGAGGCCCAGCUACCAGCCUUCAGUCUACCAGCCCCAGAGGCCCAGCUACCAGCCUUCAGUCUACCAGCCCCAGGAGCAAAUUCGGAAACCCAAGCAAAACUCUCAUCCACCUCCUCAAUCCAACCCCAAUGCAAAAGAUUCCUUCCAGACCAAAGCUGGCAUGUGGGAUUUUGUCUCACCCAAGAAUGAGAAAAUUGAGUCUGGUGUUUCUUCAAGUAGGGGACUUAUGCAAGCUGGUCCUCAGCCGUCAGUCUACCAGCCCCAGUUCGUGGGGAUUGAAAUGAAACCUGCCGUAUGGGAGUUCUUUUCUCCCGAUGGAACGGUUUCCGAUCUGAAUUUGCAGACCGGCUCCCCGUCCAAGCACCAGCAAGUGGGGAUUCAAAUACGACCUGCCGUGUGGGAGUUAUUUUCUCCCGAUAGAGUUUCUGGGCCUACCAACCUAAACAUACAAAUGACUGUUCCUCCAAGAACAAGAGAAGUUCCAUUGGCAUCCCCACACCGGCCCAGGUGGCAGCGGUCACUGGUUCCUGUGUAAAACUGCAACCAUUGACUUGAAGGAUCUCCGCUGUUCCUGACUACAUUCUGUAAGCGGUCUGUCCUGGCAACCCUUUUUAUUAAAUUUAAUAAAGUACUUGGAACUGAAA
Molecule: long non-coding RNA, 933 nt
Organism: Pseudoliparis swirei
Lineage: Eukaryota; Metazoa; Chordata; Actinopteri; Perciformes; Liparidae
Exons: 2
Source: RefSeq, a predicted model, not a curated record